Caenorhabditis elegans is the source of this 73-nucleotide non-coding RNA. The record is from Ensembl. Lineage: Eukaryota; Metazoa; Nematoda; Chromadorea; Rhabditida; Rhabditidae.
GGGAGGUCUCUAAAGUUGAAGUAACCUUGUCAUCAGAUGAGGCGUCGAAAAAGUCGCGGGUUUUGGUAGGAAU